RNAcentral lists this transfer RNA (87 nucleotides) under Thiothrix sp. Its description in RNAcentral is "tRNA-Leu". It matches the Rfam family "tRNA". Rfam says of the family: Transfer RNA (tRNA) molecules are approximately 80 nucleotides in length. Their secondary structure includes four short double-helical elements and three loops (D, anti-codon, and T loops). Further hydrogen bonds mediate the characteristic L-shaped molecular structure. tRNAs have two regions of fundamental functional importance: the anti-codon, which is responsible for specific mRNA codon recognition, and the 3' end, to which the tRNAs corresponding amino acid is attached (by aminoacyl-tRNA synthetases). tRNAs cope with the degeneracy of the genetic code in two manners: having more than one tRNA (with a specific anti-codon) for a particular amino acid; and 'wobble' base-pairing, i.e. permitting non-standard base-pairing at the 3rd anti-codon position. Lineage: Bacteria; Pseudomonadati; Pseudomonadota; Gammaproteobacteria; Thiotrichales; Thiotrichaceae. RNAcentral also lists the same sequence under 3 other names. The record is from RNAcentral.
GCCGGGAUGGCGGAAUCGGUAGACGCAGCGGAUUCAAAAUCCGCCGAUGGUAACAUUGUGCGAGUUCGAGUCUCGCUCCCGGCACCA